UUUGAUGGCGACCGGCGCACGGGUGAGUAACACGUAUCCAACCUGCCGAUGACUCGGGGAUAGCCUUUCGAAAGAAAGAUUAAUACCCGAUGGCAUAGUUCUUCCGCAUGGUGGAACUAUUAAAGAAUUUCGGUCAUCGAUGGGGAUGCGUUCCAUUAGGUUGUUGGCGGGGUAACGGCCCACCAAGCCUUCGAUGGAUAGGGGUUCUGAGAGGAAGGUCCCCCACAUUGGAACUGAGACACGGUCCAAACUCCUACGGAGGCAGCAUG
This 269-nucleotide ribosomal RNA is filed under the name uncultured bacterium. RNAcentral describes it as "partial 16S ribosomal RNA". It matches the Rfam family "Bacterial small subunit ribosomal RNA", at positions 84 to 353 of the family's 1533-position model. The record is from RNAcentral.